UACCAACAUCCAUGAUGAUGCCAGCAGU
Molecule: non-coding RNA, 28 nt
Filed under: Rattus norvegicus (Norway rat)
Lineage: Eukaryota; Metazoa; Chordata; Mammalia; Rodentia; Muridae
Source: RNAcentral